RNAcentral lists this long non-coding RNA (573 nucleotides) under Homo sapiens (human). Its description in RNAcentral is "non-protein coding lnc-BPY2C-16:1". The record is from RNAcentral. Lineage: Eukaryota; Metazoa; Chordata; Mammalia; Primates; Hominidae.
GUGGCAGGAAAUUCAUCACUUUUUAAAGUAAUUCUCUUUGGAGAUGGUGGGGUUGGGAAGAGUUCACUUAGGAACAGAUAAGUAACUAUUAAGUUUGGCACUCAGCUGUUCCAUGCAAUAGAUGUGGAAUUUUAAAAUAAGAUUUGAAAGGGGUGGACAUUUUGUUACCAUACAGAUUUGUGACAUGGCAGGUCAGGAGAGAUUCUGAAGCCUGAGGACACCAUUUUACAGAGGUUCUGACAGUUCUCUGCUUAUUUUUAGAAUCAAUGAUUUAGGAAGCUUCCAGAACUUAAGUAAUUGGAAAGAACCUGAGCGAUUUCCUUUUGUAGUUCUGCAUUCCAGGACUGGCAUAAACGAAAGGCAGGUGUUUAUAGAAGAACAGCUGCAUUAUGCAGGAAGGACAGUGACUACCCUUACUUUGCAACAAGUGCAAAAGAUGCCACAAAUGUGGCAGCAGCCUUUGAGGAUGGGGUUCAAAAAAUUCUUGUGACUGUGGAUAUGUCAGAUCACUUGAUGAACACAGGCAUGGUCAACCUUCACCAAAAGCCCAAGCCUGGCACAUCUUGUUAUUGA